CGGACGGGUGAGUAACGCGUGGGCAACCUACCCCACACAGGGGGACAACAGUUGGAAACGACUGCUAAUACCGCAUAGGCGCACAGCUUCGCAUGAAGCAGUGUGGAAAACCGAGGUGGUGUGGGAUGGGCCCGCGUCUGAUUAGCUGGUUGGCGGGGUAACGGCCCACCAAGGCGACGAUCAGUAGCCGGACUGAGAGGUUGGCCGGCCACAUUGGGACUGAGAUACGGCCCAGACUCCUACGGAAGGCAGCAG
RNAcentral lists this ribosomal RNA (255 nucleotides) under uncultured bacterium. Its description in RNAcentral is "partial 16S ribosomal RNA". It matches the Rfam family "Bacterial small subunit ribosomal RNA", at positions 99 to 354 of the family's 1533-position model. The record is from RNAcentral.